Molecule: transfer RNA, 83 nt
Filed under: Nocardioides phosphati
Lineage: Bacteria; Bacillati; Actinomycetota; Actinomycetes; Propionibacteriales; Nocardioidaceae
Description: tRNA-Leu
Rfam family: tRNA
About the family: Transfer RNA (tRNA) molecules are approximately 80 nucleotides in length.
Source: RNAcentral
GCCGAAGUGGCGGAAUUGGUAGACGCCCGCGACUUAGGAUCGCGUGCCUUCGGGUGUGGGGGUUCGAGUCCCCCCUUCGGCAC